RNAcentral lists this non-coding RNA (493 nucleotides) under uncultured Prevotella sp. Lineage: Bacteria; Pseudomonadati; Bacteroidota; Bacteroidia; Bacteroidales; Prevotellaceae. The record is from RNAcentral.
UGAUGGCGCGAACGCUGACGGUCGACUCCUGUUCGUCCAGCAGAUCUGCCUCGCCGAAGUACUCGCCGUCGCCCAAGAGCGCAAUCCGCAACUCCUCGCCGUGAGGACCCUUGCUGAUAACCUCAGCCUGACCGCUGGCCACGAUGAAGAAGCGCUGCUUGUCCUUGCCUUCCUCCACGAACAGUUUGUCGACAUCCACCUCCUUCGUCUCGAACGAGCUCACCAGACGGUUCAGAAUCUCGUCGUCGAACUCAGAAAACAGCGGGAUGGCCUUCAGGUUCUUUGCCGUAAACGAGGGCACGCCAUUCACAUACUGGAUGGGCAGACGGUCGUUCUUGCGGAGCUCCACCUUCGUACGGUUUACGCGGAACGUACCACCUGACACCUGCACCCAGGGCAGCAACUUCAGGAGUAAUCUCGGGGUGAUACUGCCCAUCUGCGGGGCGGUCUUCGUUGUCGUCGCCAGUCUUCUGGCGGUAGCAGUAGUCACACU